Molecule: ribosomal RNA, 518 nt
Filed under: uncultured Acaulospora
Lineage: Eukaryota; Fungi; Glomeromycota; Glomeromycetes; Diversisporales; Acaulosporaceae
Description: SSU rRNA
Rfam family: Eukaryotic small subunit ribosomal RNA
Source: RNAcentral
AGCAGCCGCGGUAAUUCCAGCUCCAAUAGCGUAUAUUAAAGUUGUUGCAGUUAAAAAGCUCGUAGUUGAAUUUCGGAAUCUGUCCAUCGGUCGGGCUUCACUGUCCGUACUGGUGUGGUGGGUUCUUACCUUCUGAAUAACCAGCAUGCCAUUCACUUGGUGCGUUGGGGAAGCAGGACUAUUACCUUGAAAAAAUUAGAGUGCUCAAAGCAGGCUAGUGCCUGAAUACAUUAGCAUGGAAUAAUAAAAUAGGACGGCAUGGUUCUAUUUCGUUGGUUUCUAGGAUCACCGUAAUGAUUAAUAGGGAUAGUUGGGGGCAUUAGUAUUCAAUUGUCAGAGGUGAAAUUCUUGGAUUUAUUGAAGACUAACUUCUGCGAAAGCAUUUGCCUAAGGAUGUUUUCAUUAAUCAAGAACGAAAGUUAGGGGAUCGAAGACGAUCAGAUACCGUCGUAGUCUUAACCAUAAACUAUGCCGACUAGGGAUCGGACGAUGUUAAUUUUUUAAUGACUCGUUCGGCG